UGAAUACUGAGGAUCAAGAAAGGGUUCAACUGGGAGUUCUUAGGGAAGACAUUCAAACGCCUGCUUUUUUAGAGACAAAGGAACUGGCUUCUAUUAAUCUGUGGAUGAAUAGUGCUCCUUCUAGAUCAAGUACUCACUAUGAUCCACACCAUAAUGUUCUAUGCAUAGUUGCUGGUUGCAAACAAGUUGUCUUGUGGCCCCCUUCUGCAAGUCCAUCUUUAUACCCAAAGCCUAUAUACGGUGAAGCCUCGAACCACAGUUCUGUUGCUUUAGAAAACCCUGAUUUCUCAUUGUAUCCAAGAGCAG
This 306-nucleotide unclassified non-coding RNA is filed under the name Hevea brasiliensis (rubber tree). Lineage: Eukaryota; Viridiplantae; Streptophyta; Magnoliopsida; Malpighiales; Euphorbiaceae. The record is from RNAcentral.